GUGGGGAAUAUUCCGCAAUGGGUGAAAGCCUGACGGAGCGACGCCGCGUGGACGAUGAAGGUCUUCGGAUUGUAAAGUCCUGUAGAGGGGGAAGAAGGGUCAUCGCAAGAUGAUUUGACAGUACUCCUAAAGUAAGCUACGGCAAACUCUGUGCCAGCAGCCGCGGUAAUACAGAGGUAGCUAGCGUUGUUCGGAAUGACUGGGUGUAAAGAACAUGUAGGCGGUUUUGUAAGUUGAAUGUGAAAUCCAUUGGCUUAACCAAUGAACUGCAUUCAAAACUGCAUUACUUGAGUACGGGAGAGGAAAGUGGAAUUUCUGGUGUAGCGGUGAAAUGCGUAGAUAUCAGAAGGAACACCUGUGGCGAAGGCGACUUUCUGGCCCGUAACUGACGCUGAGAUGUGAAAGCUAGGGGAGCAAACAGGAUUAGAUACCCUGGUAGUCC
RNAcentral lists this ribosomal RNA (442 nucleotides) under uncultured bacterium. RNAcentral describes it as "bacterial SSU rRNA". It matches the Rfam family "Bacterial small subunit ribosomal RNA", at positions 354 to 796 of the family's 1533-position model. The record is from RNAcentral.